RNAcentral lists this ribosomal RNA (253 nucleotides) under uncultured bacterium. RNAcentral describes it as "partial 16S ribosomal RNA". It matches the Rfam family "Bacterial small subunit ribosomal RNA", at positions 524 to 776 of the family's 1533-position model. The record is from RNAcentral.
UACGAAGGGUGCAAGCGUUACUCGGAAUUACUGGGCGUAAAGCGUGCGUAGGUGGUUUGUUAAGUCUGUUGUGAAAGCCCCGGGCUCAACCUGGGAAUGGCAAUGGAUACUGGCAAGCUAGAGUGCGGUAGAGGGUAGUGGAAUUCCCGGUGUAGCGGUGAAAUGCGUAGAGAUCGGGAGGAACACCAGUGGCGAAGGCGGCUACCUGGACCAGCACGGACACUGAGGCACGAAAGCCAGGGGAGCAAACGGG